RNAcentral lists this ribosomal RNA (301 nucleotides) under uncultured bacterium. RNAcentral describes it as "partial 16S ribosomal RNA". It matches the Rfam family "Bacterial small subunit ribosomal RNA", at positions 509 to 807 of the family's 1533-position model. The record is from RNAcentral.
CAGUCGCCGCGGAAAUGCGUAGGUGGCAAGCGUUGUCCGGAAUUAUUGGGCGUAAAGGGCUCGCAGGCGGUUUCUUAAGUCUGAUGUGAAAACCCCCGGCUCAACCGGGGAGGGUCAUUGGAAACUGGGAAACUUGAGUGCAGAAGAGGAGAGUGGAAUUCCACGUGUAGCGGUGAAAUGCGUAGAGAUGUGGAGGAACACCAGUGGCGAAGGCGACUCUCUGGUCUGUAACUGACGCUGAGGAGCGAAAGCGUGGGGAGCGAACAGGAUUAGAUACCCCUGUAGUCCCUGUCUCUUAUAC